UAAGCGCCGGUAAGGUGAUAUGAACCGUUAUAACCGGCGAUUUCCGAAUGGGGAAACCCAGUGUGACUCGUCACACUAUCAUUAACUGAAUCCAUAGGUUAAUGAGGCGAACCGGGGGAACUGAAACAUCUAAGUACCCCGAGGAAAAGAAAUCAACCGAGAUUCCCCCAGUAGCGGCGAGCGAACGGGGAGGAGCCCAGAGCCUGAAUCAGCAUGUGUGUUAGUGGAAGCGUCUGGAAAGGCGCGCGAUACAGGGUGAC
RNAcentral lists this ribosomal RNA (260 nucleotides) under Salmonella enterica subsp. enterica serovar Poona. RNAcentral describes it as "partial 23S ribosomal RNA". It matches the Rfam family "Bacterial large subunit ribosomal RNA", at positions 72 to 368 of the family's 2925-position model. The record is from RNAcentral. Lineage: Bacteria; Pseudomonadati; Pseudomonadota; Gammaproteobacteria; Enterobacterales; Enterobacteriaceae.